Non-coding RNA from Meleagris gallopavo (turkey), 570 nucleotides. NCBI's taxonomy places the organism in Eukaryota, Metazoa, Chordata, Aves, Galliformes, Phasianidae. The record is from RefSeq and is a predicted model, not a curated record.
AUUUUGCUGUUUUUUUCUCAGCAAUUGACUUGAAAAAUGGUUCUGGAGCUGUGUACCAGGGACCUGCAAGAAGUUCUGCUGAUACCACCUUCACACUCUCAGAUGAGGAUUUCAUGGAUGUGGUGCAACAGAAGACCAAUCCCCAAAAGGCAUUCUUUUCUGGUAAACUGAAAGUGAAGGGGAACAUCAUGCUGAGCCAGAAGCUGCAAAUGAUCCUGAAAGAUUAUGCCAAACUCUGAACUUCCUGAUCAUCUACCGUAGUAGUGAAGAAGUUCAGAAGACAGAAAAUCCAAUUAUUUCAGAAGCAGCAAUUAAAACAUUUUGGGGAUUACUUAACAUAAAGCUGAUUCAUUAUAUUGCUAAUAUACAAGCUAUUUUACUUGCUGUAGACACAAAAUCAUAAAAUGAUUCUAAGCAUUAAUAUCCUAUCCUUGUUUCUCUGCAGCAAUAAAGAAUGAUACUUCUCUCAUUGUACAUCUUUAUCUGAAUAAAAAAUUCUUACAAAGAUGCAUAUAUUUCUGUAUUAAUUCUAAAGAAAAUUAAAUGACUAUACCUCUUUGAUAACUUCUA